Long non-coding RNA from Halichondria panicea, 729 nucleotides. RefSeq lists it as uncharacterized. Lineage: Eukaryota; Metazoa; Porifera; Demospongiae; Suberitida; Halichondriidae. The transcript is spliced from 3 exons. The record is from RefSeq and is a predicted model, not a curated record.
GAAAAGAUAAAGAGUGCAUAAACAUGUAGUAAUUGAAUACUGCACACACAAGCACUACACUAAAAUAAUCAUAGUAAUGUUCUCACAUUGUUUGGACUCGUUUUAUUUCCGUCUUAAAUUCCAGGUGGAACCUCCGACGAGGAGUGGUGAUACGAAUGGUCCUCGGGGGAACCAGUACAUCCAACAAGUCAACUGUGUUAGCCUGUGUAUAUUUCAUUAUGAUCAUUAUGAGUCAAGCUAAAGCACUCAGGCAAAGAUUGACCAAGAAAUCGUGUCACAUUGGUAUGAAGAAGCUCAUCUCGAUUAUAGAAGCAUCUAAAAAGGGAGAUAGUUAUGAUGUGGUCAUGAUCGUAAGGAGGUUAGAAAUUGAAGGACACCUCACCAACAAAACAUCUCUGAAUUAACUUUAUUUUAUUUUAGUUUUGCGGUCUAUACAUUUUAGCUGGAUUUCCUAUAAUUAUUAUUGUUAUUUACGCACGUAUAAUUGAGUGAUUUGUGGGUGUGGUUACAAUUUUAUAAAAGGUGUGGUUUUAUCACAUUGUAUUAAAGUGCAUGGGAUUGGUAUUGAAAUAACGACAAAAUCAGUUAAACACAACAGUAAUCAGUUAAACACUGAGCUCACUGUAAUUAAACGCAUAUAAUUGGAUGCAUUGAUUUGAUUCCUUAUAUAGAGUUGGCAUUAUGGUCGUCAAUGGUGUGAGCGACUGGUUCCAGCUAGCCUGUACCGCU